UUUAAGUGUAGGGAUGCUCCUUUUUGUUGAGCCAUUGUGAAAGGCUCAGUUAUUUUUAUGAAUUAAUUAGAUUUUAUGUGUUCCAUGAUUAUAAGAAAAAAGUUAGGUUUUUUAGUCUUGAGAUGGUAAAAUUACCUGCCAUGGCUGUAGAAAAGAAUUAUAUUCCAGAAGUUACUUAAAGUUGUCUUAGUGGACUGAAGUGACUGAACACUGGAGUUACAUACAUAUCUUGAGAGCCUAUGUAUUAUGUUGUGAAGCCAGACAACUUGAGAUCGUGCGAUCUUCAUGUUCACUGAAGAUUUGUUGUAGAUGAUAGACAUCUAAGGGACUGUCCAUCAUUGUUUUUAAUGGAAACCAGAACUAGUUUUUUCAUGUUAGUUUCCUAAGCAUGAUUGAAAUAAGUUUGACUUAUUUUAAGUUCAUCGUAGAACCUAUAUCAUGACUACAUAAAAACUAGAAGCUGGUAGUGGUUUUGUUAUUGUUCUGUUCUUGAUCUAAUCUUAGUUUGCAUGUCUGUGCACACUUUUUUUCCAGGAGCUCUUGGCUAUCUAAAUUGUUUUUCUUUUUCCAAUUGUUAUGGUUCUCUUCGGGCUUCUAAAUGUCUCUCUGUUCGGUUGGUUUCUAAAUAUCCUAAACACCAUUUUCGUGGCUCUUGUAUUCUUGUGGUUAUCUGCAUAGCCCAGUAAGCAACUGGCCAAAUGGUAGCUGCGCUUUUAGGAAACAUAUAUUCAGGUUACGUUGUCAUCAUAUUUGUGAUAUGGGCAGUUAUUUAUAUUUUUUUUUCUGUUUUGUGUCUGUCAAAAAAAAAGUCAGAGAAGCAGAGCUACAAGGAAGAGGAGGGGUUCUUCUCUCUUUUUGUUGUUUUCUUCGAGAAUGUUGAGCCUAAUUGCAAUUUUUAGCUGUCUGUAACUUAACAGCAUAGCCAGUAAGACUCGUGAACCUGAAAAUUCAAUCAACAGAAGUAUAAAUGGACAAUGUUUGUAUCCGGAGGGUGCUUCUCUUCACCUUAACGCUGUUCAAAACUUGACAAGGUGUAGUAUCUUCCGUUCAAAUAAGUUCAACUAAA
This is a long non-coding RNA of Beta vulgaris subsp. vulgaris (sugar beet), 1066 nucleotides long. RefSeq lists it as uncharacterized. NCBI's taxonomy places the organism in Eukaryota, Viridiplantae, Streptophyta, Magnoliopsida, Caryophyllales, Amaranthaceae. The record is from RefSeq and is a predicted model, not a curated record. The transcript has 2 exons.